RNAcentral lists this ribosomal RNA (253 nucleotides) under uncultured bacterium. RNAcentral's name for it is "partial 16S ribosomal RNA". It matches the Rfam family "Bacterial small subunit ribosomal RNA", at positions 524 to 776 of the family's 1533-position model. The record is from RNAcentral.
UACGGAGGGUGCAAGCGUUGUUCGGAAUCACUGGGCGUAAAGCGCGUGUAGGCGGCCACUUAAGUCUGAUGUGAAAGCCCUGGGCUCAACUCAGGAAGUGCAUUGGAUACUGGGUGGCUGGAGUACCGGAGAGGAGGGUGGAAUUCCUGGUGUAGCGGUGAAAUGCGUAGAUAUCGUAAGGAAGACCAGUGGCGAAGGCGGGUCUCUGGACAGUUCCUGACACUGAGACACGAAGGCCAGGGGAGCAAACGGG